GAUGAACGCUGGCGGCGUGCCUAAUACAUGCAAGUCGAGCGAACGGACGAGAAGCUUGCUUCUCUGAUGUUAGCGGCGGACGGGUGCGUAACACGUGGAUAACCUACCUAUAAGACUGGGAUAACUUCGGGAAACCGGAGCUAAUACCGGAUAAUAUUUUGAACCGCAUGGUUCAAAAGUGAAAGACGGUCUUGCUGUCACUUAUAGAUGGAUCCGCGCUGCAUUAGCUAGUUGGUAAGGUAACGGCUUACCAAGGCAACGAUGCAUAGCCGACCUGAGAGGGUGAUCGGCCACACUGGAACUGAGACACGGUCCAGACUCCUACGGGAGGCAGCAGUAGGGAAUCUUCGGCAAUGGGCGAAAGCCUGACGGAGCAACGCCGCGUGAGUGAUGAAGGUCUUCGGAUCGUAAAACUCUGUUAUUAGGGAAGAACAUAUGUGUAAGUAACUGUGCACAUCUUGACGGUACCUAAUCAGAAAGCCACGGCUAACUACGUG
RNAcentral lists this ribosomal RNA (497 nucleotides) under uncultured bacterium. RNAcentral describes it as "partial 16S ribosomal RNA". It matches the Rfam family "Bacterial small subunit ribosomal RNA", at positions 28 to 507 of the family's 1533-position model. The record is from RNAcentral.